AUUGAACGCUGGCGGCAGGCCUAACACAUGCAAGUCGAGCGAGCGGCGGACGGGUGCGUAAUGUCUGGGAAACUGCCUGAUGGAGGGGGAUAACUACUUGAAACGGUAGCUAAUACCGCAUACCAUCAGAUGUGCCCAGAUGGGAUUAGCUAGUCGGGGGGGUAACGGCUCACCUAGGCGACGAUCCCUAGCUGGUCUGAGAGGAUGACCAGCAAAACUGGAACUGAGACACGGUCCAGACUCCGACGGGAGGCAGCAGUGGGGAAUAUUGCACAAUGGGGGCAAGCCUGAUGCAGCCAUGCCGCGGGUGUGAAGAAGGCCGUAGGGUUGUAAAGCACUGUCAGCGGGGAGGCGUUACCCGCAGAAGAAGCACCGGCUAACUCCGUGCCAGCCGCCGCGGUAAUAC
Molecule: ribosomal RNA, 406 nt
Filed under: uncultured bacterium
Lineage: Bacteria
Description: partial 16S ribosomal RNA
Rfam family: Bacterial small subunit ribosomal RNA
Source: RNAcentral